UUCACGAGAUGUUUGUGGCCUGAUAGAGCCCUCAAAAUCUUCACUUCACGUCGCACAUCUUCGAUGGAGACCGCAGUUGUCAUCUUGGUUUUGGAGAUGAUUUUGACAGCAACAGGCAAAUCCUUAAGUUCUCCUUUCUUUCCCACAGCAUGACAGGUGUGACCAAAAUGCCCACGGCCGAUCUCUUUCCCCAACUCAAACUUGGCCCCGAAAUUCUUGUUGUAACCAAAAUUCUUGUCCAAGGACUGUUCAGGUUCAGGUGUAUCAUCCUCAGGAAUCGGCCCCUCGGCGGGCGGCUUGGCAUGGCCAAAUCGCUUGGCAAGGGACGCCUUUAUGUGCUUAGCUGGAGACGGCGGAGGAAACGGCCGUUUGAAGAACCUUCUAGGCGUGGACCUAGCAGGUGAGGGCGUCACACCAACUACCCCAUGAGGGUAAGGACUCGGCCAAGGACUGUUGGCCGAGGAUCGAGCCGGUGUGUUUUUGACCGACGGCAAAUUGUUGCUGCUGACUGGCGUCUGCUGCAACGGAUGAUCGGAAUCACCGAUUACAUCGGUGAUUGGUCCGUCAGCAUCCCGGACGGUGGGGACCGUCUUUCCAUAACACUGACCCAUGGUAAGAAGGUCAGUCAGUAGUCGCAGAAGGAGUCCCCACCAGCGAAAAGAAGAGAUAGAAGUCAAAGAGAGGAGACGACUAAAGCGCUAAAGAGUCCAGAUCGAGAAGAAGAAACAGAGAGACAGGGCAAAGAGAGAAGGAUCUGCGGCGAGAAAACGAUAAAAAAAGAGAAUGAAAAGGAGAGGAGGAGGCAGUCAGAGUCAGAGUCAGAAUCAGAAAAAGAG
RNAcentral lists this unclassified non-coding RNA (836 nucleotides) under Hevea brasiliensis (rubber tree). Lineage: Eukaryota; Viridiplantae; Streptophyta; Magnoliopsida; Malpighiales; Euphorbiaceae. The record is from RNAcentral.